RNAcentral lists this ribosomal RNA (254 nucleotides) under uncultured bacterium. RNAcentral's name for it is "partial 16S ribosomal RNA". It matches the Rfam family "Bacterial small subunit ribosomal RNA", at positions 524 to 776 of the family's 1533-position model. The record is from RNAcentral.
CACGUAGGGUGCGAGCGUUGUCCGGAAUUAUUGGGCGUAAAGAGCUCGUAGGCGGUGUGUCGCGUCGGCCGUGAAAACUUGGGGCUUAACUCUGAGCGUGCGGUCGAUACGGGCAUCACUUGAGUUCGGCAGGGGAGACUGGAAUUCCUGGUGUAGCGGUGAAAUGCGCAGAUAUCUGGAGGAAUACCGGUGGCGAAGGCGGCAUCCUGGACCAUUACUGACGCUGAGGCGCGAAAGCUAGGGGAGCAAACGGG